GGCUGGGGGAUGAAGUUUUUAGAUUGUUAAGUUUCGUGUUUAGGAAGAACAAUUCCGUUCGAUAGGGGGGGAGGUUGACCGUACCUAACCGAAAGGCACGGCUAAAUACGUGCCACCAUCCCCGUUAUAUGUAGGUGGCCAGCGUCGUCCCGAAUUAUUGGGCGUAAAGGGCUCGCGGUCGUUUUUUUAGUUUGAUGUGAAAGCCCCGGCUCAACCGGGGAGGGUCAUUGAAACUGGGGAACUUGAGUGCAGAAGAGGAGAGUGGAAUUCCACGUGUAGCGGUGAAAUGCGUAGAGAUGUGGAGGAACACCAGUGGCGAAGGCGACUCUCUGGUCUGUAACUGACGCUGAGGAGCGAAAGCGUGGGGAGCGAACAGGAUUAGAUACCCUGGUAGUCCACGCCGUAAACGAUGAGUGCUAAGUGUUAGGGGGUUUCCGCCCCUUAGUGCUGCAGCUAACGCAUUAAGCACUCCGCCUGGGGAGUACGGUCGCAAGACUGAAACUCAAAGGAAUUGACGGGGGCCCGCACAAGCGGUGGAGCAUGUGGUUUAAUUUGAAGCAACGCGAAGAACCUUACCAGGUCUUGACAUCCUUUGACAAUCCUAGAGAUAGGACGUCCCCUUCGGGGGCAGAGUGACAGGUGGUGCAUGGUUGUCGUCAGCUCGUGUCGUGAGAUGUUGGGUUAAGUCCCGCAACGAGCGCAACCCUUGAUUUUAGUUGCCAGCAUUCAGUUGGGCACUCUAAGGUGACUGCCGGUGACAAACCGGAGGAAGGUGGGGAUGACGUCAAAUCAUCAUGCCCCUUAUGACCUGGGCUACACACGUGCUACAAUGGACAGAACAAAGGGCAGCGAAACCGCGAGGUUAAGCCAAUCCCACAAAUCUGUUCUCAGUUCGGAUCGCAGUCUGCAACUCGACUGCGUGAAGCUGGAAUCGCUAGUAAUCGCGGAUCAGCAUGCCGCGGUGAAUACGUUCCCGGGCCUUGUACACACCGCCCGUCACACCACGAGAGUUUGUAACACCCGAAGUCGGUGAGGUAACCUUUAUGGAGCCAGCCGCCGAAGGUGGGACAGAUGAUUGGGGUGAAGUCGUAACAAGGAGCCGUUGAGGCC
This 1110-nucleotide ribosomal RNA is filed under the name Bacillus velezensis. RNAcentral's name for it is "bacterial SSU rRNA". It matches the Rfam family "Bacterial small subunit ribosomal RNA", at positions 399 to 1510 of the family's 1533-position model. The record is from RNAcentral. Lineage: Bacteria; Bacillati; Bacillota; Bacilli; Caryophanales; Bacillaceae.